This 548-nucleotide ribosomal RNA is filed under the name uncultured Glomeromycotina. Its description in RNAcentral is "SSU rRNA". It matches the Rfam family "Eukaryotic small subunit ribosomal RNA", at positions 548 to 1097 of the family's 1831-position model. Lineage: Eukaryota; Fungi; Glomeromycota. The record is from RNAcentral.
UUGGAGGGCAAGUCUGGUGCCAGCAGCCGCGGUAAUUCCAGCUCCAAUAGCGUAUAUUAAAGUUGUUGCAGUUAAAAAGCUCGUAGUUGAAUUUCGGGGUCAGUAGAUUGGUCGUGCCACUGGUAUGUACUGGUCUCACUGGCUCCUCCUUCCUGAUGAACCGUAAUGCCAUUAAUUUGGUGUUGCGGGGAGACUGGACUGUUACUUUGAAAAAAUUAGAGUGUUUAGAGCAGGCUAACGCUUGAAUACAUUAGCAUGGAAUAAUGAAAUAGGACGUUCGAUCUUAUUUUGUUGGUUUCUAAGAUUGACGUAAUGAUUAAUAGGGAUAGUUGGGGGCAUUAGUAUUCAAUUGUCAGAGGUGAAAUUCUUGGAUUUAUUGAAGACUAACUACUGCGAAAGCAUUUGCCAAGGAUGUUUUCAUUAAUCAAGAACGAAAGUUAGGGGAUCGAAGACGAUCAGAUACCGUCGUAGUCUUAACCAUAAACUAUGCCGACUAGGGAUCGGAUGAUGUUAAUUUUUUAAUGACUCAUUCGGCGCCUUACGGGAAA